Long non-coding RNA from Triticum urartu, 636 nucleotides. RefSeq lists it as uncharacterized. The record is from RefSeq and is a predicted model, not a curated record. NCBI's taxonomy places the organism in Eukaryota, Viridiplantae, Streptophyta, Magnoliopsida, Poales, Poaceae.
CAAUCGUGCAUGGACCGGCUAACAAACUUAUGCAUAUCAAGAUUAUGUCUAACCGAGGUCCAGGGGCGGCUGCGGCCAAUUCGGCGAGGCGGCGGCUGUCCGGUGGCCGUACGUCCUCCUGCCUGGGCUCGAACUCCGGCCGUGCGACCCCACCCGCAUCAACAAGCAUCCCAACGCCGUCCGCGUCGCCUCCGAGGAUGUCCCGGUCAGAGUUGAAACAGACCCACAAGACAGAACUCAGCUCUGGAUAGGUCUUCGGGAGCUGAGUUAUUUUACACCAGUUUACCCCCUUUUAGCAGCCGCCACUAUUUUUUCCUGGAGGAGAAACUGAUUCUUAGACUACAAAACAACAGAACAGCAGGGAUGAUAUUCAGGUUGACAUAUCAGAAAAGAGCCCAAGAAUACUACAAAUGGGUUCGACAUGGGUUGAACAUAGGGGUUCUUGGCCUGAGCAUGCAAGUGUAUGGCGGGUCAAUCGAUACGUGAUUAAUAUGUUGGGAAAAGCAGUAAUGGUCGAGCAAACCGAAAAGGAGAGGCUGAAUCUUCUCCUGCAAAGUUACUGGUCAGCAUACUAUGUCGAAUGCGACAUUGCUGUAAGUACAAACAUAAAUAUGUGCAGAGAAUACCUUUUUUUUC